Molecule: ribosomal RNA, 374 nt
Filed under: uncultured prokaryote
Description: bacterial SSU rRNA
Rfam family: Bacterial small subunit ribosomal RNA
Source: RNAcentral
UACAUAGGGUGCAAGCGUUGUCCGGAAUUAUUGGGCGUAAAGAGCUCGUAGGUGGUUAGUUACGUCGGAUGUGAAAAUCUAGGGCUCAACCCUAGACCUGCAUCCGAUACGGGCUAGCUUGAGUUUGGUAGGGGAGACUGGAAUUCCUGGUGUAGCGGUGGAAUGCGCAGAUAUCAGGAGGAACACCAAUGGCGAAGGCAGGUCUCUGGGCCAAUACUGACACUGAGGAGCGAAAGUGUGGGGAGCGAACAGGAUUAGAUACCCUGGUAGUCCACACAGUAAACGAUGGGCACUAGUUGUGGGAACCUUCCACGGUUUCUGCGACGCAGCUAACGCAUUAAGUGCCCCGCCUGGGGAGUACGAUCGCAAGAUUA